GACGAACGCUGGCGGCGUGCCUAAUACAUGCAAGUCGAACGCACAGUUUAUACCGUAGCUUGCUACACCAUAAACUGUGAGUUGCGAACGGGUGAGUAACGCGUAGGUAACCUGCCUGGUAGCGGGGGAUAACUAUUGGAAACGAUAGCUAAUACCGCAUAAUAUUGAUUAUUGCAUGAUAAUUGAUUGAAAGAUGCUAUUGCAUCACUACCAGAUGGACCUGCGUUGUAUUAGCUAGUAGGUGAGGUAACGGCUCACCUAGGCGACGAUACAUAGCCGACCUGAGAGGGUGAGCGGCCCCACUGGGACUGAGACACGGCCCAGCCUCCUACGGGAGGCAGCCGUAGGGAAUCUUCAGCAAUGGACGCAAGUCUGACCGAGCAACGCCGCGUGAGUGAAGAAGGUUUUCGGAUCGUAAAGCUCUGUUGUAAGAGAAGAACGGGUGUGAGAGUGGAAAGUUCACACUGUGACGGUAUCUUACCAGAAAGGGACGGCUAACUACGUG
RNAcentral lists this ribosomal RNA (505 nucleotides) under uncultured bacterium. RNAcentral's name for it is "partial 16S ribosomal RNA". It matches the Rfam family "Bacterial small subunit ribosomal RNA", at positions 28 to 507 of the family's 1533-position model. The record is from RNAcentral.